UAACAGCGCUUUUCUACGAUGCCUGGUC
This 28-nucleotide small RNA is filed under the name Bombyx mori (domestic silkworm). RNAcentral's name for it is "ovarian small RNA-18608". Lineage: Eukaryota; Metazoa; Arthropoda; Insecta; Lepidoptera; Bombycidae. The record is from RNAcentral.